CCUAUGUCGGAUUAGCUAGUUGGUGAGGUAAUGGCUCACCAAGGCAGCGAUCCGUAGCUGGUCUGAGAGGAUGAUCAGCCACAUCGGGACUGAGACACGGCCCGAACUCCUACGGGAGGCAGCAGUGGGGAAUAUUGGACAAUGGGGGCAACCCUGAUCCAGCCAUGCCGCGUGUGUGAAGAAGGCCCUCGGGUUGUAAAGCACUUUCAGCGAGGAAGAACGCCUAGUGGUUAAUACCCAUUAGGAAAGACAUCACUCGCAGAAGAAGCACCGGCUAACUCCGUGCCAGCAGCCGCGGUAAUACGGAGGGUGCAAGCGUUAAUCGGAAUUACUGGGCGUAAAGCGCGCGUAGGUGGCUUGAUAAGCCGGUUGUGAAAGCCCCAGGCUCAACCUGGGAACGGCAUCCGGAACUGUCAGGCUAGAGUGCAGGAGAGGAAGGUAGAAUUCCCGGUGUAGCGGUGAAAUGCGUAGAGAUCGGGAGGAAUACCAGUGGCGAAGGCGGCCUUCUGGACUGACACUGACACUGAGGUGCGAAAGCGUGGGUAGCAAACAGGAUUAGAUACCCUGGUAGUCCACGCCGUAAACGAUGUCGACCAGCCGUUGGGUGCCUAGCGCACUUUGUGGCGAAGUUAACGCGAUAAGUCGACCGCCUGGGGAGUACGGCCGCAAGGUUAAAACUCAAAUGAAUUGACGGGGGCCCGCACAAGCGGUGGAGCAUGUGGUUUAAUUCGAUGCAACGCGAAGAACCUUACCUACCCUUGACAUCGACAGAAGCCGAGAGAGAUCUUGGUGUGCCUUCGGGAACUGUCAGACAGGUGCUGCAUGGCUGUCGUCAGCUCGUGUUGUGAAAUGUUGGGUUAAGUCCCGUAACGAGCGCAACCCUUGUCCUUAUUUGCCAGCGCGUAAUGGCGGGAACUCUAAGGAGACUGCCGGUGACAAACCGGAGGAAGGUGGGGACAACGUCAAGUCAUCAUGGCCCUUACGGGUAGGGCUACACACGUGCUACAAUGGCCGGUACAAAGGGCAGCGAGCUCGCGAGAGUCAGCGAAUCCCUUAAAGCCGGUCUCAGUCCGGAUCGGAGUCUGCAACUCGACUCCGGAAGUCGGAAUCGCUAGUAAUCGUGAAAUCAGA
Molecule: ribosomal RNA, 1131 nt
Filed under: uncultured bacterium
Lineage: Bacteria
Description: bacterial SSU rRNA
Rfam family: Bacterial small subunit ribosomal RNA
Source: RNAcentral